This is a long non-coding RNA of Camelina sativa (false flax), 532 nucleotides long. RefSeq lists it as uncharacterized. The record is from RefSeq and is a predicted model, not a curated record. Lineage: Eukaryota; Viridiplantae; Streptophyta; Magnoliopsida; Brassicales; Brassicaceae.
CAUUCUCUCUCUCUCGAUCAGGUAAAAAAGGUAAAUUUCAGAUUUCUUAGGAAUAUCGCGUUACUUGCUGAUAUUCUAUUUUCGGUUGAGAGAAUACAAAUUGCGAUAAUGGUGUAUCCUCGCAAUCCCAGUAACGAUGAUUAUCCGGGUUGUAUUGUUGUUCCUGGUCUCCGCUUCCCACAUCGCUCCUUUGGAGCCAAUGAUUAUCACCUUCAUUUAAUUUCUCUAUCUCUCUGUGUUUGUUGUUGGUUGCUGUACGUAUAGCUCAUUUAUCUUCAUGUUUUCACCUCACUAGACUCCACCUCCGCGACGUUUUGAAGAAGAUGACUAAGAAGAAGAAGACUAAGAAGCCCGUCAUGAAAAGCGAAGCCUCCCCUUAAGGGCUUAGGCCUCCCUUCGCUUGUCCCUUUCUCUUUUGCUUCCCAUGUUUGUAACUUAAAAAAAUUUGCAAUGCUUUAUGACUGAACCUUUUAUGUGAUGACGAUAUGAGUUUUUGAGAACUCUCCCCUAAUGUUAUUUUCAUUCGGUGAUA